AGGGGCCGUGCGUAGCAUCAGCUAGUUGGUGGGGUAAUGGCCUACCAAGGCGAAGACGCUUAGCUGGUCUGAGAGGAUGAUCAGCCACACUGGGACUGAGACACGGCCCAGACUCCUACGGGAGGCAGCAGUGGGGAAUAUUGGACAAUGGGCGCAAGCCUGAUCCAGCCACGCCGCGUGAGUGAUGAAGGCCUUCGGGGUCGUAAAAGCUCUGUGGGGAGGGACGAACGGCGCCAUGAAGAGUGGCGAUUGACGGUACCUCCUUAGCAAGCACCGGCUAACUUCGUGCCAGCAGCCGCGGUAAUACGAAGGGUGCAAAACGUUGCUCGGAAUCAUUGGGCGUAAAGCGCACGUAGGCGGCUUUCUAAGUCGGAUGUGAAAUCCCUCGGCUUAACCGAGGACGUGCAUCCGAAACUGGGAGGCUUGAGUAUGGAAGAGGGUCGCAGAAUUCCCGGUGUAGAGGUGAAAUUCGUAGAUAUCGGGA
RNAcentral lists this ribosomal RNA (484 nucleotides) under uncultured bacterium. Its description in RNAcentral is "bacterial SSU rRNA". It matches the Rfam family "Bacterial small subunit ribosomal RNA", at positions 224 to 702 of the family's 1533-position model. The record is from RNAcentral.